RNAcentral lists this ribosomal RNA (314 nucleotides) under uncultured bacterium. RNAcentral describes it as "bacterial SSU rRNA". It matches the Rfam family "Bacterial small subunit ribosomal RNA", at positions 29 to 334 of the family's 1533-position model. The record is from RNAcentral.
AGUGAACGCUGGCGGCGUGGAUUAGGCAUGCAAGUCGAGCGAUUCUUCUUCGGAAGAAUAGCGGCAAACGGGUGAGGAACACGUGAACAAUCUUCCCUAAAGACGGGUAAAGCAUCGAGAAAUCGGUGGUAAUACCCGAUGUGUCCUAUUGACUUCAUGGUCGAUAGGGUAAAGGCGGGGACCUUCGGGCCUGCCACUUUUGGAUGAGUUCGCGUCCUAUCAGCUUGUUGGUGAGGUAAUGGCUCACCAAGGCAUUUGACGGGUAGCUGGUCUGAGAGGAUGAUCAGCCACACUGGGACUGAGACACUGCCCAG